Molecule: long non-coding RNA, 2241 nt
Organism: Oncorhynchus gorbuscha (pink salmon)
Lineage: Eukaryota; Metazoa; Chordata; Actinopteri; Salmoniformes; Salmonidae
Exons: 2
Source: RefSeq, a predicted model, not a curated record
GAGGGACAGUGGACUCUUCGGGACGUGUGGAGGCUUGCAUGCUCCUAGCCGUUGGCCUAAGUGACACUUGCCUGGACAGUCAAUGACUGACAGAGAGAGAGGGAGAGAGGGAAAGAGAUUAGAGUAGUUGUAGAGAGGUGUAGAAGGUACUGGUCGUGUUGCUUGUUGUUCCAGAACUCUCUGUACACUGUAGUGGAACUUGUGAACAUUCUGGAACUCAUAAAAUGGUCACCCAUUUAGUCUAUUUUGGAUAAAGAGUUGGGAAAAGUGUUUGGAGUCAUCAGGAUCUGUUAUUCCAAGAUGUCUUCUCUGCUUCUCUCUCCUGCGUUCCCCUGUCUGCUCCUAUUGGGAUUGUGCCAGUCACCAUAUACACUACAGAACCAUUCAGAAAGGAAGAUUCAUUCAUUGCUACUAAUAAACUAUUUAUACGUGUGAACGUUUUCCUCUCUCUCUCCCUCCAAGACAUGAUGCUUUCUGUGACAUGUAGGAUUCAUGUUCUGUCUGAUCUUCUGGUAGUGAAUCUUCAUGUCUACAUGUUGUUUGUAGUUGUUCAUGUAGUUGUUACUCAUGUUCAAUGUUGCCUUACUAUGUGCCAGUAUAUUAUCUGAACAGUCUCUAGUUGUAUGGUCUGGAAAUGGAAGGAAGCGUGAGAAGGAGGAGAUGGGAGGACAGAGUCUGUACAAGUACAGGAAGAUGCUUUAUUUUUGUUAAAAAUAUAUAUUAUGCUUACUUAUAUUCAAGCAGGAAGUAUGUUUGUUAUUUCUUUGUUUGUUGUGGUUGAAUGCUUUUAUUUAAACCAUGGAAACGAUGCAGGAAUGGGGGUGGUGAAGUGUACCAGGCCCCAGCAAUGCACCCUGUUUGGUGGUGUAGGGUAGGCUUACAUCAGCAGUGCUGUACUGUAUUAUCUAGAGACGGAUAGAGCUAACCUGGUCCCAGAUCAGUUCGUGUUGUCCUGCAAACACAUAUAGUCAUUGGCAAGGCAGCACAAACCGAUCUGAGAUCAGGUUAGUGGAGAGCUGGCAGAGGAAGACUCCGUCUGGGGCAUCGUUGGACUGUCUCGUUAACCCAGUUAUCUAGCCAAAAGUUACACCCAGUAACCAGAGCGUCAUUAUACACAACAGAACGUUCAGCAUGUGUGUGACCACUUUUAACCCACAUCACACUCCUUUGAUAAGAUGGUGGCCAGUCCGCCCCACCAGCACACAAGCUGUUCUUAACGAGUACAAAGUCCACCUUGAAUGAGAGAGUUUGUGAACAAUUCAACAUGAAUGGUUCCCUAGUUAAUCAAGCAGCAGUCUUCCAUUGACACGUUAACAACGAUGAAGACUGUUCCACUGUUGAUGAGUGAAAGAUUCAAAAAGAAGAUCCCACUGUUUAUGGAGAGAUUGACACCCUAUUUCCCGUACGGUGAAGUGCACUACUUUAGACCAGAGCCACUGGACCAAAAGUAGUGCGCUACACAGGGAAUAGGUUGUCGUUUGGCACACACUGAAUCAAUAGAAAGACCUGGGCACUUUUCCAAAAUGUCUCAGAGUAGGACUGCUGUUCAUCUUAUACAUUAUGAUCUAAACAGCUAAACUGAUCCAAGAUCAGCACUUGAUGAAGUCCUGGGUGAGAGGCAUGUUGAGAGAAAAUAGAUGAGUGAAGAAGCAACAACACUGUAUCUGCAGCUGCUUUGUGUUUGUGGUAACAACAUGUUCAACUGCACCAUACAGACUUCCAAGGUGAUUCCAUUGGUGCUUUAUGUACAAAGGAAGUCAGAAGACGUUUCACCACCAUUUUGACUUCCAAGGUGAUUCCAUUGGUGCUUUAUGUACAAAGGAAGUCAGAAGACGUUUCACCACCAUUUUGACUUCCAAGGUGAUUCCAUUGGUGCUUUAUGUACAAAGGAAGUCAGAAGACGUUUCACCACCAUUUUGACUUCCAAGGUGAUUCCAUUGGUGCUUUAUGUACAAAGGAAGUCAGAAGACGUUUCACCACCAUUUUGACUUCCAAGGUGAUUCCAUUGGUGCUUUAUGUACAAAGGAAGUCAGAAGACGUUUCACCACCAUUUUGCAACGCUUUCAUUUAUUCAUUCAUUGUCGAGGGACCAGGGACCAUCGCUUACAGUAACUAAAGAAACUACAACAACACAAGCUUAUGACAUUUUUUAUUUGGGCCUCUAUUGGAUAAAAACAGCAAUGAUUAUAAUUUAUAUAUUUAUGUUUUCAAUAAUAAAUACAUUCUGCUUAUCAAACUGUA